Molecule: ribosomal RNA, 209 nt
Filed under: uncultured Ochrobactrum sp.
Lineage: Bacteria; Pseudomonadati; Pseudomonadota; Alphaproteobacteria; Hyphomicrobiales; Brucellaceae
Description: partial 16S ribosomal RNA
Rfam family: Bacterial small subunit ribosomal RNA
Source: RNAcentral
AUUUUUAAGUCAGGGGUGAAAUCCCGGGGCUCAACCCCGGAACUGCCUUUGAUACUGGAAGUCUUGAGUAUGGAAGAGGUGAGUGGAAUUCCGAGUGUAGAGGUGAAAUUCGUAGAUAUUCGGAGGAACACCAGUGGCGAAGGCGGCUCACUGGACCAUUACUGACGCUGAGGUGCGAAAGCGUGGGGAGCAAACAGGAUUAGAUACCC